Molecule: ribosomal RNA, 491 nt
Filed under: uncultured bacterium
Lineage: Bacteria
Description: partial 16S ribosomal RNA
Rfam family: Bacterial small subunit ribosomal RNA
Source: RNAcentral
AGUGAACGCUGGCGGUAGGCCUAACACAUGCAAGUCGAACGGCAGCACAGUAAGGGCUUGCUCUUACGGGUGGCGAGUGGCGGACGGGUGAGGAAUACAUCGGAAUCUACUUUUUCGUGGGGGAUAACGUAGGGAAACUUACGCUAAUACCGCAUACGACCUACGGUUGAAAGCAGGGGAUCUUCGGACCUUGCGCGAUUGAAUGAGCCGAUGUCGGAGUAGCUAGUUGGCGGGGUAAAGGCCCACCAAGGCGACGAUCCGUAGCUGGUCUGAGAGGAUGAUCAGCCACACUGGAACUGAGACACGGUCCAGACUCCGACGGGAGGCAGCAGUGGGGAAUAUUGGACAAUGGGCGCAAGCCUGAUCCAGCCAUACCGCGUGGGUGAAGAAGGCCUUCGGGUUGUAAAGCCCUUUUGUUGGGAAAGAAAAGCAGCAGGUUAAUACCCCGCUGUUCUGACGGUACCCAAAGAAGAAGCACCGGCUACCUUCGU